UCUUCUAGUCUCAUUUCUUCACGGUUUUGUCUUGAGAAGUAACUAUUAGAGUGUCCACCACCCUCAUCCUCCAGAAAAAGAUUUCUGCAAUGUGACCUUCUAAUCUCACUUUGCUACCAAAUGCUAGCACCUUUUAAACUACUUUUUUAAGCAGCCUGUGGAACAGAGUGUAACAGAGGAAGAUGGGACAAGAUGAGAAAAAAAGCAACAGAGAGGGAAAUAUUGGAGUUUGUGGCUAUCAGACAAAAGAGCAAAAAGUUUUCCCUCAUUUCUUACCCUGCUGGUGUUCAGACACAUCACUCUGAGCCAGCCAGGAAUGUGGGAUAGAGCUCAUUCCUCCUCAGGAAGGAUGUAGGUGACUUGGGAGGCAGCCAGAGGUAACGUUGCAGGCAGGAGACCUGUGGAAAGGAGAAGUGGCAGUAAAUACUGUGAAGGCUGAGAUCACCAGGGGUGGGAAAGGUGAACUGGAGUUGCUGGGGUGGAAGGGAGAGAUGCAGAAGUUGAUUAAAGACAGACAGGAUUCCUGAGAUCAUCAACACUUUGAAGAACUUACCCAUGUCCCAGAGGCAGGUUUGAAAGAGAAGUCUACAAAGACCCUUGCUUAUAUAAAAGUCUGAAAUGUGAAAACUUGUUCUAACCUAGAAAGUGGUCUCACACUCUGAAAAAACCAGAGAAAUGGGGCAAGAAGCAUGGCAUAAAAAGGCAAAAGGUGCAUGAACAGCA
Long non-coding RNA from Neopsephotus bourkii (Bourke's parrot), 723 nucleotides. RefSeq lists it as uncharacterized. The transcript is spliced from 3 exons. The record is from RefSeq and is a predicted model, not a curated record. Lineage: Eukaryota; Metazoa; Chordata; Aves; Psittaciformes; Psittacidae.